ACCCAGUAGACGAGUCCCAAAUAGGACGAAAUGUGCAUCAUGGAU
RNAcentral lists this non-coding RNA (45 nucleotides) under Trichobilharzia regenti. Lineage: Eukaryota; Metazoa; Platyhelminthes; Trematoda; Strigeidida; Schistosomatidae. The record is from RNAcentral.